UGGAAGUAAAAGUCGUAACAAGGUCUCCGUAGGUGAACCUGCGGAGGGAUCAUUACAAGUGACCCCGGUCUAACCACCGGGAUGUUCAUAACCCUUUGUUGUCCGACUCUGUUGCCUCCGGGGCGACCCUGCCUUCGGGCGGGGGCUCCGGGUGGACACUUCAAACUCUUGCGUAACUUUGCAGUCUGAGUAAACUUAAUUAAUAAAUUAAAACUUUUAACAACGGAUCUCUUGGUUCUGGCAUCGAUGAAGAACGCAGCGAAAUGCGAUAAGUAAUGUGAAUUGCAGAAUUCAGUGAAUCAUCGAAUCUUUGAACGCACAUUGCGCCCCCUGGUAUUCCGGGGGGCAUGCCUGUUCGAGCGUCAUUUCACCACUCAAGCCUCGCUUGGUAUUGGGCAACGCGGUCCGCCGCGUGCCUCAAAUCGACCGGCUGGGUCUUCUGUCCCCUAAGCGUUGUGGAAACUAUUCGCUAAAGGGUGUUCGGGAGGCUACGCCGUAAAACAACCCAAUUUCUAAGGUUGACCUCGGAUCAGGUAGGGAUACCCGCUGAACUUAAGCAUAUCAAUAAGCGGAGGAA
This 577-nucleotide unclassified non-coding RNA is filed under the name Cladosporium europaeum. RNAcentral's name for it is "sequence contains 18S rRNA gene, ITS1, 5.8S rRNA gene, ITS2, 28S rRNA gene". The stretch from base 212 to 365 matches the Rfam family "5.8S ribosomal RNA". Lineage: Eukaryota; Fungi; Ascomycota; Dothideomycetes; Cladosporiales; Cladosporiaceae. The record is from RNAcentral.